GCUUGUCUCAAAGAUUAAGCCAUGCAUGUCUAAGUAUAAACUGCUUUAUACUGUGAAACUGCGAAUGGCUCAUUAAAUCAGUUAUAGUUUAUUUGAUGGUACUUACUUACUCGGAUAACCGUAGUAAUUCUAGAGCUAAUACAUGCACAAAAUCCCGACUUACGAAGGGAUGUAUUUAUUAGAUGGAAACCAAUGCAGGGCAACCUGGAAUAUGGUGAUUCAUAAUAACUCGCGGAUCGGUUUACCGAUGCAUCAUUCAAGUUUCUGCCCUAUCAGCUUUGGAUGGUAGGGUAUUGGCCUACCAUGGCUUUAACGGGUAACGGAGAAUUAGGGUUCGAUUCCGGAGAGGGAGCCUGAGAAAUGGCUACCACAUCCAAGGAAGGCAGCAGG
Molecule: ribosomal RNA, 390 nt
Filed under: uncultured Chrysophyceae
Lineage: Eukaryota; Chrysophyceae
Description: partial small subunit ribosomal RNA
Rfam family: Eukaryotic small subunit ribosomal RNA
Source: RNAcentral